RNAcentral lists this ribosomal RNA (119 nucleotides) under Helianthus annuus (common sunflower). The record is from RNAcentral. Lineage: Eukaryota; Viridiplantae; Streptophyta; Magnoliopsida; Asterales; Asteraceae.
GGUUGCGAUCAUACCAGCACUAAUGCACCGGAUUCCAUCAGAACUCCCCAGUUAAGCGUGCUUGGGAGAGAGUAGUACUAGGAUGGGUGACCCCCUGGGAAGUCCUCGUGUUGCAACCC